Molecule: long non-coding RNA, 1133 nt
Filed under: Cyclopterus lumpus (lumpfish)
Lineage: Eukaryota; Metazoa; Chordata; Actinopteri; Perciformes; Cyclopteridae
Description: lncRNA (ENSCLMG00005005352.1)
Source: RNAcentral
GUGCAAUAAAAAAGUACAAUAUGUACCUCUGAGAUGUAGUAAAGUAGAAGUAUAAAGUGGCAUCAUUUGGAAAUAUUCAAGUAAAAUACACUACUUAUAUACUUGGUUCCAGUCCACCGCUGAUCUCCUUUUAUUGUGAAGGCCAAAGUAGCGGAAGUAGUGUGAGUGUUUCCGGGUCGCACACUUAGCAGGUCAGCUAAGUGGAAAUGAAGACACAAACACGGCGUACUUUUCUUUAGUCUUCUUCGACUCCAUCUGUAGAACAUGUCCACAUUGCAGGAUGCUCAACAUGAAUCCAGACGGCGGCUCGCGGACCUCUGAUUGGACGUUUGGAGACAUCCGGAUAUGAAAAGGAGCAAAGUGCUGGAUGUUGUUUUAAAGGCCGACAUGGAGCUGCGGAGAGAAGCAGGUGCUCCUUCCAGCCAGAUCCAGUAGGCCCAGAAGAGAAUGGAGCCAGAGGAGGCCCACGUUGGAGCCGGUCCACCGGUGGUCUGCUGGAGACCCCCCUGGGAGGCGAGACCUCCACCACACCUGUCUGAUUACGCUGUCGGCUCCCUCCUCGUGGUCGACCCACAGCCAGCCCUGAUGAAUACAUUGCCAUGAGGUUCUUUCCAACGUCUCCUGCAAUCACGGCUUCCAACAUCUGAUCCACGUUGGGAUCAAAUAUCUUCCAUUCCUUCUUUGAUGCUGCGACAGGCCACGCCCCUCUCUUCAUCACGUGCCCUCUUCAUCAUUACUGGUAGGUUGCAAGCACUUCAUAUUUGUCUGGUGUGUCUUCAGAAACCCUCUUAACUUCCAAGAUCUACAGACCUGUUAUUCAUGGCUCAACUGUUCCAUAGCGAGUUGUUUUGAUUGUCCAUCAUGGGUUGUCAUAAGCACAGUCUGUCCUGAGGGUGAAUCACCCCCCUACCCUGCUAUCACCCAACCCUGGGGGUGUCUUAUAUCUUCCCAUAGCAAUUGAUGAUGGGUUCCUCCUCACAAAGGAUGUGUUUCAGCCCAUCAAGCUUUCGCACCCUAGCUCUGGUCUUUCCCAAUGUUCAGUAGUCUUUCCGAGCAGUCAACGUUGUCCCUCAGUCGCCAGCUCGUCUUUGUUAGUCACUUCUGGCAUCUGGGACCAAGUUACUCUCUCUCUG